Molecule: ribosomal RNA, 496 nt
Filed under: uncultured bacterium
Lineage: Bacteria
Description: partial 16S ribosomal RNA
Rfam family: Bacterial small subunit ribosomal RNA
Source: RNAcentral
AUGAACGCUGGCGGCGUGCCUCAUACCUGCCAGUCGCGCGAACAGACGAGGAGCUUGCUCCUCUGACGUUAGCGGCGGACGGGUGAGUAACACGUGGAUAACCUACCUAUAAGACUGGGAUAACUUCGGGAAACCGGAGCUAAUACCGGAUAAUAUAUUGAACCGCAUGGUUCAAUAGUGAAAGACGGUUUUGCUGUCACUUAUAGAUGGAUCCGCGCCGCAUUAGCUAGUUGGUAAGGUAACAGCUUACCAAGGCAACGAUGCGUAGCCGACCUGAGAGGGUGAUCGGCCACACUGGAACUGAGACACGGUCCAGACUCCUACGGGAGGCAGCAGUAGGGAAUCUUCCGCAAUGGGCGAAAGCCUGACGGAGCAACGCCGCGUGAGUGAUGAAGGUCUUCGGAUCGUAAAACUCUGUUAUUAGGGAAGAACAAAUGUGUAAGUAACUAUGCACGUCUUGACGGUACCUAAUCAGAAAGCCACGGCUAACUACGUG